This 29-nucleotide non-coding RNA is filed under the name Homo sapiens (human). The record is from RNAcentral. Lineage: Eukaryota; Metazoa; Chordata; Mammalia; Primates; Hominidae.
UACCUGACCAAUAGACAGGGAGUUGUGUC